This 205-nucleotide unclassified non-coding RNA is filed under the name Hevea brasiliensis (rubber tree). Lineage: Eukaryota; Viridiplantae; Streptophyta; Magnoliopsida; Malpighiales; Euphorbiaceae. The record is from RNAcentral.
GGAUAUUUUAAUGUUUUUAAUAUUUUUCCAUUGAUCGUCUAUGCUCUGUAGAGGUCAACAACCAGGAGAUGUUUUGGCUUUGCUUCUGCUUUAGUUAAAGUAGGUUUUUGAAUUGCUUUGUGACUUUUUCUUUAGUGGUGUUGGCAUGAUUUUGUUUGCAUCCUUUAUUCUUAUUUUUUUUUUGAAAUAAUUAUUACAGUUUUUU